CCUACGGGAGGCAGCAGUGGGGAAUAUUGGGCAAUGGAGGCAACUCUGACCCAGCAAUGCCGCGUGAGUGAUGAAGGUAAUUUUAUUGUAAAGCUCUUUUCUUUGGAACGAAGAAAUGACGGUACCAAAGGAAUAAGCCCCGGCUAACUACGUGCCAGCAGCCGCGGUAAUACGUAGGGGGCAAGCGUUGUGCUGACUGACUGGGCGUCAAGGGUGUGUAGGUGGUUGGAUAAGUGAGCUGUGUAAUACCCCGGGCUUAACGCGGGUGCUGCAUCUAAAACUGUUAGACUUGAGUACUGGAGAGUAUAGUGGACUUCCUUGUGUAGCGGUGUAAUGCGUAGAUAUUAGGAGGAACAUCAGUGGCGACGGCGACUAUCUGGACAGCACCUGACACUGAGGCACGAAAGCGUGGGGAGCAAACAGGAUUAGAUACCCCAGUAGUC
Molecule: ribosomal RNA, 443 nt
Filed under: uncultured bacterium
Lineage: Bacteria
Description: partial 16S ribosomal RNA
Rfam family: Bacterial small subunit ribosomal RNA
Source: RNAcentral